GACGAACGCUGGCGGCGUGCCUAAUACAUGCAAGUCGAGCGAGCGGAACUAACAGAUUUACUUCGGUAAUGACGUUAGGAGAGCGAGCGGCGGAUGGGUGAGUAACACGUGGGGAACCUGCCCCAUAGUCUGGGAUACCACUUGGAAACAGGUGCUAAUACCGGAUAAGAAAGCAGAUCGCAUGAUCAGCUUUUAAAAGGCGGCGUAAGCUGUCGCUAUGGGAUGGCCCCGCGGUGCAUUAGCUAGUUGGUAAGGUAAAGGCUUACCAAGGCGAUGAUGCAUAGCCGAGUUGAGAGACUGAUCGGCCACAUUGGGACUGAGACACGGCCCAAACUCCUACGGGAGGCAGCAGUAGGGAAUCUUCCACAAUGGACGCAAGUCUGAUGGAGCAACGCCGCGUGAGUGAAGAAGGUUUUCGGAUCGUAAAGCUCUGUUGUUGGUGAAGAAGGAUAGAGGUAGUAACUGGCCUUUAUUUGACGGUAAUCAACCAGAAAGUCACGGCUAACUACGUGCCAGCAGCCGCGGUAAUACGUAGGUGGCAAGCGUUGUCCGGAUUUAUUGGGCGUAAAGCGAGCGCAGGCGGAAGAAUAAGUCUGAUGUGAAAGCCCUCGGCUUAACCGAGGAACUGCAUUGGAAACUGUUUUUCUUGAGUGCAGAAGAGGAGAGUGGAACUCCAUGUGUAGCGGUGGAAUGCGUAGAUAUAUGGAAGAACACCAGUGGCGAAGGCGGCUCUCUGGUCUGCAACUGACGCUGAGGCUCGAAAGCAUGGGUAGCGAACAGG
Molecule: ribosomal RNA, 781 nt
Filed under: uncultured Lactobacillus sp.
Lineage: Bacteria; Bacillati; Bacillota; Bacilli; Lactobacillales; Lactobacillaceae
Description: bacterial SSU rRNA
Rfam family: Bacterial small subunit ribosomal RNA
Source: RNAcentral